RNAcentral lists this ribosomal RNA (253 nucleotides) under uncultured bacterium. RNAcentral's name for it is "partial 16S ribosomal RNA". It matches the Rfam family "Bacterial small subunit ribosomal RNA", at positions 524 to 776 of the family's 1533-position model. The record is from RNAcentral.
UACGUAGGGGGCAAGCGUUGUCCGGAUUUAUUGGGCGUAAAGAGCGUGUAGGCGGCCAGGUAGGUCUGCUGUGAAAACUCGAGGCUUAACCUCGAGCUGUCGGCGGAAACCAUCUGGCUAGAGUCCGGAAGAGGAGAAUGGAAUUCCCGGUGUAGCGGUGAAAUGCGUAGAUAUCAGGAGGAACACCGGUGGCGAAGGCGCACAUCUGGCCCGAUACUGACGCUGAGGCGCGAAAGCUAGGGGAGCAAACGGG